This 4537-nucleotide long non-coding RNA is filed under the name Canis lupus familiaris (dog). RNAcentral describes it as "lncRNA (ENSCAFG00845005547.1)". Lineage: Eukaryota; Metazoa; Chordata; Mammalia; Carnivora; Canidae. The record is from RNAcentral.
AGGGUCUCCAAGACCACGCCCUGGGCUGCAAGGCGGCACUAAAUUGCUGUGCCACCAGGGCUGCCCUCUUCUCUAUUUUUAUUGUCUUAUCUCUGUUUGCUUGGGGUGGGUAAGAGCCUGACUAUCAUUUGGUGCACUUGGGAUUUAUGGGGCCCACAGAUUUAUGGAAGCCCAACUCUGGGCCUUUCCCUUAUCUUUCCCUGCCUAGCCCCACCCAUCCCUAACUCAUUACUACGUCAAUUUGUUGAACACACACAUUAAAACUGCUCAAUAUCACUGGCAUCAGGGAAAUACAAAUCAAAACCACAUUGAGAUACCACCUCACACCAGUCAGUGGCUAAAAUUAACAAGUCAGGAAACAAUAGAUGCUGGUGAGUUUGCAGAGAAAGAGGAACCCUCUUACAUGAUUGGUGGGAAUGCAAGCUGGUACAGCCACUCUGGAAAACAGUAUGGAGUUUCCUCAAAAAAAUAAAAAAUAGAGUUACCUUAUGACCCAGCAAUUGCCCUACUAGGUAUUACCUGAAGGAUACAAAUGUUGUGAUCUGAAGGGGAUACCUUCACUCCAAUGCUUAUGAGUUAGGGACAAAUGAGGCUAGACAGGGCUAGGUAAAGGCCCAUAGAAGAAGGCUCACAAAAUAAGUGCCAAAAUGCUGAGGUGUAAGGAAACCCAGAGAUAAGGGCACAAGUCAGACCACUCUGCUGCCCUAAGUGUGGGCGGGGAGGGUGUCUUUUUAUGAUAGUCACCUGUGACCAACAAAGGAUAAUCAGACUUCAAAGAAGAAGUAAACCAUUAAGGAUGUUAUCAAUAGUCCUUAUUCAAUGGUGAUAUCAGUAGAUAAUGCUAAAAAGAUUUAGGUUCCCUGAUUAGGCUUUCAAUAAAAGACCAACUCUACAAGCCCUCAGUGACAACCCAGUCGUGACUCCUCUCGUUUCUGAGAGAUUUCUUUUAUCUUUACUUAAUAAACUUCUAUUCCUAUAUAUAUACAUAAAUAUAUAUUAUGUAUAUAUAUAAAUAAACUUAUCUCUUUACACACUCUCCUUUGUCCAUAAGAUUCAUUCUUUGACUCUGUGAGACAAGAACCCAGCUCUCCCGUAUCAUUUAUAGCAGCAUUAUCUACCAUAGCCAAACUAUGGAGAGAGCUGAGAUAUCCACCAACAGAUGAAUGGAUAAAGAAGAUGUGGUGUAUAUACACAAUGGAAUAUAUAUACACAGUGUGGUAUGUAUACACUCAGCCACCAGAAAGGAUGAAAUCUUACCAUUUACAUCAACAUGGAUGAAGCAGGAGACUUAUGCUGAGCGAAAUACGUCAGUCAGAGAAAGACAAUUAUCAUAUGGUUUCACUCAUAUGUGGAAUUUAAGAAACAAAACAGGAUCAGAAGGAAGGGAGGGAAAAAGAAAGUAAGAUGAAAUUAGAGAGGGAGACAAACUCUAAGAGCUUCUUCACUAACUUGAGGGUUGCUGAAGGGCAGGUGGGGGAAAUGGGGUAACUGGGUGAUGGCCAUAAAGGAGGGCAUGUGAUGUGAUGAGCACUAGGUGUUAUAUGCAACUGAUGAAUUCCUGAAAUCUACAUCUGAAAUUAAUGACACAUUAUAUGUCAACUAAUUGAAUUUAAAUAAAAGUUAACAAUAAAAGGAGUUUGAAAGGUUAGAACAGAAAUGCAAAGGCCUUGUGGCAAAAGAAGCUGAACUGGCUUGAGAAACAGGAAGAAGUUGUGUGUGGUUGUCAGAGUGAAUGGCAGGGAAUUUGGGAAAGAAGAGAAUUAGAAUUACAGGCCAGGGCAUGUAAGGCAUUUAAGUUCAUGGUAACACAUUUGAUUUUCUUUUUCUAUGCGUGUUGGAAAUUCUUUAAGGUCUUCAAAAUAAAAUUUACUUUGUUUUUAAAAGAACACUUAGGACCCAGUGAGACAUUAUUGUGAGUGGUGGGAGGUGAGCCUGCAGUAAGCCAAUGCAAUGUUUUACUAAGUAGUGUAAGGCAUGUUAAGAAUUUUAGAACCAAUUCUUAGAGCACUGAGGAACCACAAAAGGUUUUGAAAGAGUGGAGUGGGCUUAUCAGAUUUGUCUCUCUAAAACAGAAAAUAAAAAUGCAUUUUGCAAUAUUUUAAAUAUGCCAACAACUGACAGUUCUUAUAAGUACCUGUUUAUGAUUAAGUAUAACUUCUAUUUAACAAAGCGUUAUAGCUAGGUAUAUGUGCUUCCUUUAAGAUGUGAUUAGUGGAAGGAAGUAAAAUAAUAAAUAUGAUGUAGAUGUCAUAGUUUCUUUAAUAGUAUAUUUAAAAAUCAACUUAAGUCCACUACUAUAUUAAAAUUACUUACAAAAUUGAAAAUGCAAAUUUUAAAUAAUCUACAUGAGUAAAGGAAACAAUAUUAUUUUAGGAAGGGAAGUAUAUUCUUUCUAAAAUACACACUAUAUUGUUUAUAUUUGUUAUAUUACAAAUGCACAUAAAUAAGUUUUUAGACUUUUGCUCUGGUCUAUAUGUUACUUUCUACAGCCAUAUUUUAUUCUGUAAUUAUUUUUUCUGGUAUGCAUGUGGGAAAACAAGUAAACUGAACUAGAGGAAGAGAGUGAAGAAGGGAGAGAGAGAGAGAGCAAAAGAAAAAGGAGAGAGAGAAAGCAGAGAACAGAAAGCCACAUAGAGAACAAGUAGGAAGUGAUUUCAAUACUUGAGAAAUUGGAACAUUUAUCAAAAUAUAACAAUUAUUCUGAAUAUACUGUCACAUAGUAUUCUUAACAAAUUAAGCAAGUAUUUACAAUAAAAUAAUGUUCAAAAUUAUUUCUACAUAUGCAGUAAUAAAUGCAAAUACACAGGGACUGAAUCAUCUUAAUGCUUCUGAAGCAAAGCAUCUGAAACAACAUCUGACUAAAGCAGCAGAUAUGAUUAUCUUCUACAUGCAAACUUCUUUCUACUAAAAGUCAAAGUUAAGUUUUUUCUUCUGGCUUAAAAAAGGGCCAGACCAGAGAGGAUAUUGAUACUCUUUAAUACAGGUUAUUAUAUUUCAGAUUCAUUAAGCCUUGAAAUGAAUUUCAUGUUCAGCUGACAGUCUUUAUUUUGUGAAGCAUAAUUAGGCAUAGGAACAGUUUUCAUGACACGGAAGACAGUAACAACUCAAUCAAUAUUAUUGGGGGUUUCAUUCAAUUCUAAAAAACUAAUAAAAAUGUUUUAAAAAAUUUAAGUGUCUUACUAGAUAUGCUGAUGAUUACUUCUAUGUUCAACUUAUUUGAUGAUAAUAAUAAUAAUAAUAAUAAUAAUAAUAAUAAUAAUAAAUUGUUGGGGUUUGCCCUCCUCCCAACUGUAGUAGCUGGUUUAAUAACUCGUCUAUUUUGGCUGCUUUUCCUUUUCUGUAUUACUUCUCUACUCUUCUGCUAUUUUUUUCUGUGCCGCUCAAAUGAAAAAAUCUGAUCCUGUAUACUUGUAUAGUUGCUUCUCGGGGUGCCUAUACUAAUUUGGUACCAGAAAUGACCCAAGGAAGCAGAUACCCAUGAGGAGAUAAUAGAAUUGAAUUACUUGUCAGUGAGAUGACUAUAAAACCACAUUCUGGUGGUAAGUGGUGUGUUUAGAAGUGCUGGCAUGCUGCAACAUUGCAAUCAUUAAGGCUCUUACAUGUGUGAAAUUAGGACAGGAUACAGGUGAAAGGAGUUGUGCUGACUUAUGCAACAUUCCUUGCAUUUGAGAAAAUGAUGGACAUGGGUGUUGUGAGGAUGCUUGUGCUGGUGGGCAGAGUCUUAUUAAGUGCUAUCGAUGUACUCAAGGGAGAAAAUAAUAGGUACAAGCCAGCCAACCAUUAAAUCAGUAAACUGAAAAUCAGAAUUCUAUGAAAGCCACAAGUACCCUAAGAAAGGAUUUAAAUAUACCCCAUACUCUAUUGACUGAAACAGAGCACAGGACCUGAUUUCAGAGAGCAAAAUCACAAAGGAAGUUUAUUCAAACCUCUAAAAAUUCACCUUCACUAAAGCCUUGGCUCUGAUAGACCCUACUUGACCCUGACAUCUGGGAUGGGAACAUCUUGUUAGGUGUGCUUGAGAACCUUUACCUCUAAACCCCAAGCCCUCCUUAUGAUUUGACAAUAUGUAGAAGCCUCUACUAGAUAUAUGCCUCAAGUAAUAAUACUUUCCUUCUUCAAAAGUUGUCCUCAUAUUUAGUAAGGUAUUCUAGGUCAGUAGCUAGUGUCAAAUCUCAGCAUGGCCUUCCUUAGCAAUCAUUGCAUGUUUCAGGAGGAAGGAUAUUAGCUACAAAACAGCUGCAAGUGCAGGCUAAUAUAUUUACAUAGGACAAGGAAAGUACAACUGGAGAUGGAUCUUGGGUUACUAGAAUGAAGAGGAGAGGCAAAUAUGUCUAAUAUAAGAUAUUUGCUAACAGGGAUCCCUGGGUGGCACAGCGGUUUGGCGCCUGCCUUUGGCCCAGGGCACAAUCCUGGAGACCCGGGAUCGAAUCCCACGUUGGGCUCCCGGUGCAUGGAGCCUGCUUCUCCCUCUGCCUAUGUCUCUGCACCUCUCUCUCUCUCUCUGUGACUAUCAUAAAAAAUAAAAAUAAAAUAAAAA